CGCCGCGUGAGUGAAGAAGGUUUUCGGAUCGUAAAGCUCUGUUGUUGGUGAAGAAGGACAGGGAAAGCAACUGGUCCCUGUUUGACGGUAAUCAACCAGAAAGUCACGGCUAACUACGUGCCAGCAGCCGCGGUAAUACGUAGGUGGCAAGCGUUGUCCGGAUUUAUUGGGCGUAAAGCGAACGCAGGCGGGAGAAUAAGUCAGCUGUGAAAGCCCUCAGCUUAACUGGGGAACUGCAGCUGAAACUAUUUUUCUUGAGUGCAGAAGAGGAGAGUGGAACUCCAUGUGUAGCG
This 293-nucleotide ribosomal RNA is filed under the name uncultured Lactobacillus sp. Its description in RNAcentral is "partial 16S ribosomal RNA". It matches the Rfam family "Bacterial small subunit ribosomal RNA", at positions 395 to 680 of the family's 1533-position model. The record is from RNAcentral. Lineage: Bacteria; Bacillati; Bacillota; Bacilli; Lactobacillales; Lactobacillaceae.